RNAcentral lists this ribosomal RNA (1497 nucleotides) under metagenome. RNAcentral describes it as "bacterial LSU rRNA". It matches the Rfam family "Bacterial large subunit ribosomal RNA", at positions 1220 to 2925 of the family's 2925-position model. The record is from RNAcentral.
UGUGCGUGGUAGGAGAGCGUUCCGUAAGCCUGUGAAGGUGGCUUGUAAAGGCUGCUGGAGGUAUCAGAAGUGCGAAUGCUGACAUGAGUAGCGUUAAAGCGGGUGAAAAGCCCGCUCGCCGUAAUCGCAAGGUUUUCUACGCAACGUUCAUCGGCGUAGAGUAAGUCGGCCCCUAAGGCGAGGCAGAGAUGCGUAGCUGAUGGGAAACAGGUCAAUAUUCCUGUACCGAUGUGUAGUGCGAUGUGGGGACGGAUCCUAAUAGGUCAUCCAGUUAUUGGAUUCUGGUUUAGGCAGAUGUAGACGACAGGUAGGAAAAUCCGCUUGUCAUAUGUUGAGGCUGCCAAUCGAGCGAGCUUGCUCGCGAAGUGACUGAACGGGGUUCCAGGAAAAGCCACUAAGCUUCAGCUGCACACGACCGUACCGCAAACCGACACUGGUGCGCGAGAUGAGUAUUCUAAGGCGCUUGAGAGAACUCUGGAGAAGGAACUCGGCAGAUUGACACCGUAACAAUAACGGUCCUAAGGUAGCGAAAUUCCUUGUCGGGUAAGUUCCGACCUGCAUGAAUGGCGUAACGAUGGCCACGCUGUCUCCUCCAGAGACUCAGCGAAGUUGAAAUGUUUGUGAUGAUGCAAUCUCCCCGCGGAAAGACGGAAAGACCCCAUGAACCUUUACUGUAGCUUUGUAUUGGACUUUGAACAGAUCUGUGUAGGAUAGGUGGGAGGCUUUGAAGUGCGGUCGCUAGAUCGCAUGGAGCCAACGUUGAAAUACCACCCUGGUGUGUUUGAGGUUCUAACCUGGGCCCAUUAUCUGGGUCGGGGACAGUGCAUGGUAGGCAGUUUGACUGGGGCGGUCUCCUCCCAAAGCGUAACGGAGGAGUUCGAAGGUACGCUAGUUACGGUCGGACAUCGUGACGAUAGUGCAAUGGCAUAAGCGUGCUUAACUGCGAGACUGACAAGUCGAGCAGAUGCGAAAGCAGGACAUAGUGAUCCGGUGGUUCUGUAUGGAAGGGCCAUCGCUCAACGGAUAAAAGGUACUCUGGGGAUAACAGGCUGAUACCGCCCAAGAGUUCAUAUCGACGGCGGUGUUUGGCACCUCGAUGUCGGCUCAUCUCAUCCUGGGGCUGUAGCCGGUCCCGAGGGUAUGGCUGUUCGCCAUUUAAAGAGGUACGUGAGCUGGGUUCAAAACGUCGUGAGACAGUUUGGUCCCUAUCUUCCGUGGGCGCUGCAGAUUUGAGAAAGCCUGCUCCUAGUACGAGAGGACCGGAGUGGACGCACCGCUGGUGUACCUGUUGUCACGCCCGUGGCAUCGCAGGGUAGCUAAGUGCGGAAGAGAUAACCGCUGAAAGCAUCUAAGCGGGAAACUCGUUUCAAGAUUAGAUCUGCCGGGGCCUUGAGCCCCCUGAAGAGUCGUUCAAGACCAGGACGUUGAUAGGCUGGGUGUGGAAGCGCAGUAAUGCGUUAAGCUAACCAGUACUAAUUGCUCGUGCGGCUUGACCCU